This 58-nucleotide transfer RNA is filed under the name Aulacus sinensis. RNAcentral describes it as "tRNA-Ser". The record is from RNAcentral. Lineage: Eukaryota; Metazoa; Arthropoda; Insecta; Hymenoptera; Aulacidae.
AAUUAAUUAUAAAUAUAUUUUGAAAAUAUAUUAAAGAAAAUAAAAUUUCUAUUAAUUU